This 930-nucleotide ribosomal RNA is filed under the name uncultured bacterium. Its description in RNAcentral is "bacterial SSU rRNA". It matches the Rfam family "Bacterial small subunit ribosomal RNA", at positions 1 to 939 of the family's 1533-position model. The record is from RNAcentral.
GCCCUUGGUUUGAUCCUGGCUCAGGACGAACGCUGGCGGCGUGCUUAAUGAAUGCGAGUCGAGCGAAGGGUCGAGAUAAGCUUGCUUAAAUCGGUUCUUAGCGGCGAACGGGUGAGUAACACGUAGGGAUCUGCCUUUUUGACUGGGAUAACAGCGAGAAAUUGCUGCUAAUACCGGAUACGCUGGAGACAGGAAAGGUUUAUGACUGGAAACGGUCAUACGCCGCUUAAAGAGGAACCUGCGGCCCAUCAGCUAGUUGGCGGGGUAACAGCCCACCAAGGCGACGACGGGUAGCCGGUCUGAGAGGAUGAACGGCCACACUGGGACUGAGACAUGGUCCAGACUCCUACGGGAGUUAGCAUCAGGGGAUCUUGCGCAAUGGGCGAAAGCCUGACGCAGCGGCGCCGCGUGGGGGAUGACGGCUCACGGGUUGUAAACCCCUGUCCAGGGGGACGAACAAAUGACGGUACCCCUGGAGGAAGCCACGGCUAACUACGUGCCAGCAGCCGCGGUAAUACGUAGGUGGCAAGCGUUGUCCGGAAUUACUGGGCGUAAAGGGCAGGUAGGCGGUCUGAUAAGUCAUCCGUUAAAGCCCCAGGCUCAACCUGGGAUCUGCAGGUGAUACUGUCAGACUAGAGUGUGCUAGAGGAGAGCGGAACUGCCAGUGUAGCGGUGGAAUGCGUAGAUAUUGGCAGGAACGCCAGUGACGAAGGUGGCUCUCUGGGGCAUGACUGACGCUGAGCUGCGAAAGCCAGGGUAGCGAACGGGAUUAGAUACCCCGGUAGUCCUGGCCGUAAACGAUGGUCACUAGGUGUUGGAGGUAUCGACCCCCCCAGUGCCGCAGUUAACGCAAUAAGUGACCCGCCUGGGGAGUACGGCCGCAAGGCUGAACUCAAGGAAUUGACGGGGGCCCGCACAGCGGGUGGAGCA